This 737-nucleotide ribosomal RNA is filed under the name uncultured Coriobacteriaceae bacterium. Its description in RNAcentral is "bacterial SSU rRNA". It matches the Rfam family "Bacterial small subunit ribosomal RNA", at positions 28 to 776 of the family's 1533-position model. Lineage: Bacteria; Bacillati; Actinomycetota; Coriobacteriia; Coriobacteriales; Coriobacteriaceae. The record is from RNAcentral.
GAUGAACGCUGGCGGCGCGCNUAACACAUGCAAGUCGAACGGUUAAAGCCCCUUCGGGGGUGCAUAAAGUGGCGAACGGCUGAGUAACACGUGGGCAACCUGCCCCUCGCACCGGGACAGCCUCGGGAAACCGUGGUUAAUACCGGAUACUCCCGCACCCCCGCAUGGGGGCGCGGGGAAAGCCCAGACGGCGAGGGAUGGGCCCGCGGCCUGUUAGCUCGUUGGCGGGGUAACGGCCCACCAAGGCGAUGAUGGGUAGCCGGGUUGAGAGACCGACCGGCCAGAUUGGGACUGAGACACGGCCCAGACUCCUACGGGAGGCAGCAGUGGGGAAUCUUGCGCAAUGGGCGGAAGCCUGACGCAGCGACGCCGCGUGCGGGAAGGAGGCCUUCGGGUCGUAAACCGCUUUCAGCAGGGACGAGGCCGCGAGGUGACGGUACCUGCAGAAGAAGCCCCGGCUAACUACGUGCCAGCAGCCGCGGUAAUACGUAGGGGGCAAGCGUUAUCCGGAUUCAUUGGGCGUAAAGCGCGCGUAGGCGGCCUGUUAGGUCGGGAGUCAAAUCCGGGGGCUCAACCCCCGCCCGCUCCCGAUACCGGCGGGCUUGAGUCUGGCAGGGGAAGGCGGAAUUCCAAGUGUAGCGGUGGAAUGCGCAGAUAUUUGGAAGAACACCGGUGGCGAAGGCGGCCUUCUGGGCCACGACUGACGCUGAGGCGCGAAAGCUAGGGGAGCGAACAGG